GACGAACGCUGGCGGCGUGCUUAACACAUGCAAGUCGAACGGAAAGGCCCUGCUUUUGCGGGGUGCUCGAGUGGCGAACGGGUGAGUAACACGUGUGUAUACUGCACUUGACUUUGGGAUAACAUCAGGAAACUGGGGCUAAUAUCGGGUAGGAGAUCUUGAUGCGUGGGGGGGGUUGGUAAGUGUCGGCGGUUGGGGAUGGACUCGCGGGUUACCGGCUUGUUGGUGAGGUAGUGGCUUACCAAGGUUUUGAAGGGUACGCGGCCUGGGAGGGUGGCCGGCCACAUUGGGACUGAGAGACGGCCCAGACGCCUACGGUAGGCAGCAGUGGGGAAUAUUGCACAAUGGGCGGAAGCCUGAGGCAGCAGCGUCGCGUGCGUGAUGACGGCCUUCGGGUUGUGAACCGCUUUCGCCUGUGACGAAGCGUGAGUGACGGUAAUGAGUAAAGAAGCACCGGCUAACUACGUG
This 468-nucleotide ribosomal RNA is filed under the name uncultured bacterium. Its description in RNAcentral is "partial 16S ribosomal RNA". It matches the Rfam family "Bacterial small subunit ribosomal RNA", at positions 28 to 507 of the family's 1533-position model. The record is from RNAcentral.